GGGGGCGACAUGGCUUCGACGUGGGUAGCAAAACCUUAAGUGCAUGCCGAGGACUGUACACCUCGUAAAACCUACAGAAACUAAGUAUUCGCAAAUGACGAAAACUACUCAAUGGCUCUAGCUGCUUAAACACAGCACCAUUCCUUUGACCAUCUGUGCUUAUGCGGGUGGAGUUCGGUUCGCCGAGCGCUCAGAGGUCAUUUACAUAAGAUCGCGCUGAAAUCCGUCCGGUGUGGAUGCGCUAAAACCUUACGGAAUCGCUGGUGAUUUUCUUGGCUCGACGGGUGAUCAUUAGCUAAAUUAAAGACGAGAUAAGCAUGUAGACCUUAAGGCGGAGUGCUUGCGGACGGGGGUUCAAUUCCCCCCGCCUCCACCA
This 376-nucleotide transfer-messenger RNA is filed under the name Methylococcales. RNAcentral's name for it is "KS41 sp003584895 Standard tmRNA". It matches the Rfam family "transfer-messenger RNA". From Rfam's summary of the family: Bacterial tmRNA, also known as 10Sa RNA or SsrA, is named for its dual tRNA and mRNA-like properties. Its role is to liberate the mRNA from a stalled ribosome. The record is from RNAcentral. RNAcentral also lists the same sequence under 1 other name. Lineage: Bacteria; Pseudomonadati; Pseudomonadota; Gammaproteobacteria.